Molecule: ribosomal RNA, 377 nt
Filed under: uncultured bacterium
Lineage: Bacteria
Description: bacterial SSU rRNA
Rfam family: Bacterial small subunit ribosomal RNA
Source: RNAcentral
AAACGUAGGAGGCUAGCGUUAUCCGGAUUUAUUGGGCGUAAAGCGCGCGCAGGCGGUCCUUUAAGUCUGAUGUGAAAGCCCACGGCUCAACCGUGGAGGGUCAUUGGAAACUGGGGGACUUGAGUGCAGGAGAGGAGAGCGGAAUUCCACGUGUAGCGGUGAAAUGCGUAGAGAUGUGGAGGAACACCAGUGGCGAAGGCGGCUCUCUGGCCUGUAACUGACGCUGAGGCGCGAAAGCGUGGGGAGCAAACAGGAUUAGAUACCCUGGUAGUCCACGCCGUAAACGAUGAGUGCUAAGUGUUAGAGGGGUCACACCCUUUAGUGCUGCAGCUAACGCGAUAAGCACUCCGCCUGGGGAGUACGGCCGCAAGGCUGAA